RNAcentral lists this ribosomal RNA (465 nucleotides) under uncultured Klebsiella sp. Its description in RNAcentral is "bacterial SSU rRNA". It matches the Rfam family "Bacterial small subunit ribosomal RNA", at positions 338 to 795 of the family's 1533-position model. The record is from RNAcentral. Lineage: Bacteria; Pseudomonadati; Pseudomonadota; Gammaproteobacteria; Enterobacterales; Enterobacteriaceae.
CCUACGGGGGGCAGCAGUGGGGAAUAUUGCACAAUGGGCGCAAGCCUGAUGCAGCCAUGCCGCGUGUGUGAAGAAGGCCUUCGGGUUGUAAAGCACUUUCAGCGGGGAGGAAGGCGGUGAGGUUAAUAACCUCAUCGAUUGACGUUACCCGCAGAAGAAGCACCGGCUAACUCCGUGCCAGCAGCCGCGGUAAUACGGAGGGUGCAAGCGUUAAUCGGAAUUACUGCGCGUAAAGCGCACGCAGGCGGUCUGUCAAGUCGGAUGUGAAAUCCCCGGGCUCAACCUGGGAACUGCAUUCGAAACUGGCAGGCUAGAGUCUUGUAGAGGGGGGUAGAAUUCCAGGUGUAGCGGUGAAAUGCGUAGAGAUCUGGAGGAAUACCGGUGGCGAAGGCGGCCCCCUGGACAAAGACUGACGCUCAGGUGCGAAAGCGUGGGGAGCAAACAGGAUUAGAUACCCUUGUAGUC